Molecule: ribosomal RNA, 459 nt
Filed under: uncultured bacterium
Lineage: Bacteria
Description: partial 16S ribosomal RNA
Rfam family: Bacterial small subunit ribosomal RNA
Source: RNAcentral
CCUACGGGUGACCGCAGUGAGGAAUAUUGGUCAAUGGGCUUACGCCUGAACCAGCCAAGUCGCGUGAGGGAAGACGGCCCUACGGGUUGUAAACCUCUUUUGUCGGGGAGCAAAGCGAACCACGUGUGGUUCAUUGAGAGUACCCGAAGAAAAAGCAUCGGCUAACUCCGUGCCAGCAGCCGCGGUAAUACGGAGGAUGCAGGCGUUAUCCGGAUUUAUUGGGUUUAAAGGGUGCGCAGGCGGAGGUGCAAGUCAGCGGUCACAUUGCGGGGCUCAACCCCGUACUGCCGUUGAAACUGCAUCCCUUGAGUGCGCGAGAAGUAUGCGGAAUGCGUGGUGUAGCGGUGAAAUGCAUAGAUAUCACGCAGAACUCCGAUUGCGAAGGCAGCAUACCGGCGCGCAACUGACGCUCAUGCACGAAAGCGUGGGUAUCGAACAGGAUUAGAUACCCGAGUAGUC